AGCGAACGCUGGCGGCAGGCUUAACACAUGCAAGUCGAACGGGUAUCUUCGGAUACUAGUGGCAGACGGGUGAGUAACACGUGGGAACGUACCUUUCGGUUCGGAAUAGUACAGGGAAACUUGUACUAAUACCGGAUAAGCCCUUCGGGGGAAAGAUUUAUCGCCGAUAGAUCGGCCCGCGUCUGAUUAGCUAGUUGGUG
Molecule: ribosomal RNA, 200 nt
Filed under: uncultured bacterium
Lineage: Bacteria
Description: partial 16S ribosomal RNA
Rfam family: Bacterial small subunit ribosomal RNA
Source: RNAcentral